RNAcentral lists this ribosomal RNA (253 nucleotides) under uncultured bacterium. Its description in RNAcentral is "partial 16S ribosomal RNA". It matches the Rfam family "Bacterial small subunit ribosomal RNA", at positions 524 to 776 of the family's 1533-position model. The record is from RNAcentral.
UACGGAGGGUGCAAGCGUUAUCCGGAUUCACUGGGUUUAAAGGGUGCGUAGGCGGACAGGUAAGUCAGUGGUGAAAUCUCUGGGCUUAACCCAGAAACUGCCGUUGAUACUAUCUGUCUUGAAUAUCAUGGAGGUAAGCGGAAUAUGUCAUGUAGCGGUGAAAUGCUUAGAUAUGACAUAGAACACCGAUAGCGAAGGCAGCUUACUACAUGGAGAUUGACGCUGAGGCACGAAAGCGUGGGGAGCAAACGGG